This 254-nucleotide ribosomal RNA is filed under the name uncultured prokaryote. RNAcentral's name for it is "partial 16S ribosomal RNA". It matches the Rfam family "Bacterial small subunit ribosomal RNA", at positions 524 to 776 of the family's 1533-position model. The record is from RNAcentral.
UACGUAGGCAGCGAGCGUUGUUCGGAGUUACUGGGCGUAAAGGGUGUGUAGGCGGUUGUUUAAGUUUGGUGUGAAAUCUCCCGGCUCAACUGGGAGGGUGCGCCGAAUGCUGAAUGACUUGGAGUGCGGGAGAGGAGAGUGGAAUUCCUGGUGUAGCGGUGAAAUGCGUAGAUAUCUGGAGGAACACCGGUGGCGAAGGCGGCAUCCUGGACCGGCAUUGACGCUGAGGCGCGAAAGCCAGGGGAGCAAACGGG